AACGCACCUUGCGCCUCUUGGUAUUCCGAGAGGCAUGCCUGUUUGAGUGUCUUAUAAAAUCAAUCCCCACGGGUUUCUUGACCCGGCGGUGGACUUGGAAUUGGGCGUCUGCCGUUCACGCGGCUCGCCUUAAAGACGUUAGUGGGACAAGUUGCCUACGGCUUGACGUAAUAAGUUUCGUCAGACCCGGUGGCUUAUGCCCGCUCAUAACCCUCACCUGCCUCGCGGCGGCUGAACCCUUUAUGCUAGACCUCAAAUCAGGUAGGACUACCCGCUGAACUUAA
RNAcentral lists this unclassified non-coding RNA (284 nucleotides) under uncultured fungus. RNAcentral's name for it is "sequence contains ITS2". The stretch from base 1 to 52 matches the Rfam family "5.8S ribosomal RNA", at positions 103 to 154 of the family's 154-position model. The record is from RNAcentral. Lineage: Eukaryota; Fungi.